UGAGAUUUAUUUUUGGAGUCUCAGGGCCAA
This 30-nucleotide non-coding RNA is filed under the name Rattus norvegicus (Norway rat). The record is from RNAcentral. Lineage: Eukaryota; Metazoa; Chordata; Mammalia; Rodentia; Muridae.